This 252-nucleotide ribosomal RNA is filed under the name uncultured prokaryote. RNAcentral's name for it is "partial 16S rRNA". It matches the Rfam family "Archaeal small subunit ribosomal RNA", at positions 475 to 726 of the family's 1478-position model. The record is from RNAcentral.
ACCGGCGGCUCGAGUGGUGGCCACUAUUACUGGGCUUAAAGCGUUCGUAGCUGGCUUGUUAAGUCUCUGGGGAAAUCUUCCGGCUCAACCGGAAGGCGUCUCAGGGAUACUGGCAGGCUAGGGACCGGAAGAGGUGAGAGGUACUCCAGGGGUGGGAGUGAAAUCGGGUGGUCCUGGGAGGGCAGACUGUGGCGAAGGCGUGCUACCAGGAUGGGACCGACAGUGAGGCACGAAAGCGAGGGGCGCAAACCU